Molecule: ribosomal RNA, 254 nt
Filed under: uncultured bacterium
Lineage: Bacteria
Description: partial 16S ribosomal RNA
Rfam family: Bacterial small subunit ribosomal RNA
Source: RNAcentral
UACGUAGGGUGCGAGCGUUGUCCGGAAUUAUUGGGCGUAAAGAGCUCGUAGGCGGUGUGUCACGUCGUUCGUGAAAACCUGCAGCUUAACUGUGGGCGUGCGGUCGAUACGGGCAUCACUGGAGUUCGGCAGGGGAGACUGGAAUUCCUGGUGUAGCGGUGAAAUGCGCAGAUAUCGGGAGGAACACCAGUGGCGAAGGCGAUCCUCUGGACGGAUACUGACGCUGAGGCGCGAAAGCUAGGGGAGCAAACGGG